This 573-nucleotide ribosomal RNA is filed under the name uncultured bacterium. RNAcentral's name for it is "partial 16S ribosomal RNA". It matches the Rfam family "Bacterial small subunit ribosomal RNA", at positions 355 to 923 of the family's 1533-position model. The record is from RNAcentral.
UGGGGAAUUUUGGACAAUGGGCGAAAGCCUGAUCCAGCAAUGCCGCGUGUGUGAAGAAGGCCUUCGGGUUGUAAAGCACUUUUGUCCGGAAAGAAAUCCUUGGCUCUAAUACAGUCGGGGGAUGACGGUACCGGAAGAAUAAGCACCGGCUAACUACGUGCCAGCAGCCGCGGUAAUACGUAGGGUGCAAGCGUUAAUCGGAAUUACUGGGCGUAAAGCGUGCGCAGGCGGUUUGCUAAGACCGAUGUGAAAUCCCCGGGCUCAACCUGGGAACUGCAUUGGUGACUGGCAGGCUAGAGUAUGGCAGAGGGGGGUAGAAUUCCACGUGUAGCAGUGAAAUGCGUAGAGAUGUGGAGGAAUACCGAUGGCGAAGGCAGCCCCCUGGGCAAUACUGACGCUCAUGCACGAAAGCGUGGGGAGCAAACAGGAUUAGAUACCCUGGUAGUCCACGCCCUAAACGAUGUCAACUAGUUGUUGGGGAUCAUUUCCUUAGUAACGUAGCUAACGCGUGAAGUUGACCGCCUGGGGAGUACGGUCGCAAGAUUAAAACUCAAAUGAAUUGACGGGGUCAUA